RNAcentral lists this long non-coding RNA (369 nucleotides) under Lupinus angustifolius (narrow-leaved blue lupine). RNAcentral's name for it is "long non-coding RNA (LANG_LNC003510)". Lineage: Eukaryota; Viridiplantae; Streptophyta; Magnoliopsida; Fabales; Fabaceae. The record is from RNAcentral.
UUUGAUUCAUUUUUGUAACUUCUCUUCUGUAAACUCUCCUAUUCUCUCAAUAAAACUCUCCAACUCGAAACUUUUUCUGACAUAGAGUUUCUUGUUCAUUGCAAUUCUUCGAAUUUUAAAGUAAUUCCUAGAAUUUCCAUAUCAAUUACUAUCACGGGCUUCUUCUUUUCUAGGAAGACUGACAGAACCUACACAAACAUAAACAACAUUGAAAGAAGUACAAGAGAGUCUAGAACAUUGAAUGGUGUAUAAAUUGAGAAACACAUGUUGGAACUUGUGGGUGAAAAUUCAAAAGACACUAAGAGAAUCAUUGAGGAAUACAAUAGAGGAACUUAUGAAAAGGAAGAAGCAAGAUUUAUAAAGAUCCCC